GAGUUUGAUCAUGGCUCAGAACGAACGCUGGCGGCGUGCCUAACACAUGCAAGUCGUACGAGAAACACGUCCUUCGGGGCGUGGAGUAAAGUGGCGCACGGGUGAGUAACACGUGGGUAACCUGCCCUUGGAACCGGGAUAACUGGCCGAAAGGCCCGCUAAUACCGGAUAAGACUUCAUGAGCUUCGGCUCAUGCGGCCAAAGUCGGCCUCUCGAAGAAGCCGGCGCCUGAGGAUGGGCCCGCGGACCAUUAGCUAGUUGGUGAGGUAACGGCUCACCAAGGCCGAGAUGGUUAGCUGGUCUGAGAGGAUGAUCAGCCACACUGGAACUGAGAUACGGUCCAGACUCCUACGGGAGGCAGCAGUGAGGAAUAUUGCGCAAUGGAGGCAACUCUGACGCAGCAACGCCGCGUGGGUGAAGAAGGCUUUCGGGUUGUAAAGCCCUGUCAGGUGGGAAGAAACCUCUUCUAGUGAAUAGCUAGAGGAACUGACGGUACCACCAAAGGAAGCACCGGCUAACUCCGUGCCAGCAGCCGCGGUAGACGGAGGGUGCAAGCGUUGUUCGGAAUCACUG
RNAcentral lists this ribosomal RNA (573 nucleotides) under uncultured Desulfomonile sp. Its description in RNAcentral is "bacterial SSU rRNA". It matches the Rfam family "Bacterial small subunit ribosomal RNA", at positions 9 to 556 of the family's 1533-position model. Lineage: Bacteria; Pseudomonadati; Thermodesulfobacteriota; Desulfomonilia; Desulfomonilales; Desulfomonilaceae. The record is from RNAcentral.